GCGCUUAUGGUGGAGGGGUUAACAUACUUCCUUAGGGUGGAAGUGGUCCCCGGUUCGAGUCCGGGUGAGCGCC
This 73-nucleotide transfer RNA is filed under the name Tremella mesenterica DSM 1558. RNAcentral describes it as "tRNA-Pro (AGG) (tRNA-Pro-AGG-1-1)". It matches the Rfam family "tRNA". From Rfam's summary of the family: Transfer RNA (tRNA) molecules are approximately 80 nucleotides in length. Their secondary structure includes four short double-helical elements and three loops (D, anti-codon, and T loops). Further hydrogen bonds mediate the characteristic L-shaped molecular structure. tRNAs have two regions of fundamental functional importance: the anti-codon, which is responsible for specific mRNA codon recognition, and the 3' end, to which the tRNAs corresponding amino acid is attached (by aminoacyl-tRNA synthetases). tRNAs cope with the degeneracy of the genetic code in two manners: having more than one tRNA (with a specific anti-codon) for a particular amino acid; and 'wobble' base-pairing, i.e. permitting non-standard base-pairing at the 3rd anti-codon position. The record is from RNAcentral. Lineage: Eukaryota; Fungi; Basidiomycota; Tremellomycetes; Tremellales; Tremellaceae.